AUGAAUGCCGCCCUCGAGAAGAUGGAGUUCAUGGACGAGCUCGACCCGGUCGCCAGGGACUGGAGGGACCACGUCAGAGAGAUGUCCUACGACAUGGAAAACUGCAUCGACGACUUCGUGCGCCAGUUUGGAGAUGGUAAUGCAAAGUUAGGAUUCAUCAAGAAGACUGUUCGAAGCCUCAAGAUGUUGGGACAGCGCCACCGUAUCGCUGACCGGAUGGAGGAGCUCAAGGUUCUUGCACUAGAGGCAAAUGAACGACGCAUCAGGUACAAGAUCGAUGAAUUCAAUCCUAAUUCUAGCCCUGUGGCUAUUGAUCCUCGGUUGUCGGCAAUAUACACGAAGGCUGCUGGUCUUGUGGGUACCGAUGGUCCAAAGAAGGAGCUUGUUAAUUUGUUGACAAGUACAGCAGAAAAGGAGCUCAAGGUGGUGUCAAUUGUGGGAUUUGGAGGACUAGGUAAAACUACACUUGCCAAACAGGUGUACGAUGAGAUCAGAGGGCAGUUUGACCAUACAGCCUUUGUUUCCAUAUCCCAAAAACCUAACAUGACAGGGCUUCUCUAUCGUAUACAACUAAAACUUGGGAUGAAUUGGUCUUGUGUUUGUGAGGUGGAAGACAUCACUGACGAUCUUAGAAAUUAUCUCACACACAAGAGGUACCUUAUUAUAGUCGAUGACUUGUGGGACCAGUCAGCAUGGAAUACUAUAAGCCGCGCCUUUCCACCCCUCAACAAGCAAGACUCAAAAAAAUUGUUUUUUGGUAGAGUAUAUGGGUCUGAAGAUGAUCGUCAAUUUGAAGAAAUUACAGCUGAAAUUCUGAAGAAGUGUGGGGGACUUCCACUUGCAAUCAUUACUAUAGCUAGCCUAUUAGCUAGUCGUCCUAAAAAGUUAAGGGAUGAGUGGGAGCGCAUCAGGAACUCUCUUGGAACCCAAUUUUCGGUAAAUCCUACAUUGGAAGGAGUGAAGAAUAUAUUAAACCUUAGCUACAUCCAUCUUCCCCUUCAUCUCCGGGCAUGCUUUCUGCACCUUGGUAUAUAUCCUGAAGACCGUGCGAUUGAGAGGGAUGAUUUGGUUCGACAAUGGUCGGCUGAAGGACUUGUCAGAAAAUUGCAUGGGCAAGACUCCGAGGUUGUUGCUAAGAGCUAUUUUAAUGAGCUUAUCAACAGGAGCUUGAUUCAGCCUGGACGUAUUGAGUAUGAAAUAGCAAGAGACCAUGACCGGAAGUACAAGGUCCAUCGUAUAUCCAUGAACUUCAGUAAUGGUGGUGCAGCAGAUGAGACAUCAUCAAGGACCAUUCCUUCUAGCCUAUCACAAGUUCGAUCACUUGCACUUUUCGGGGAAUCCAAGUACAUGCCCACUCUUUUGCAUUUUAAGCAUCUCAGGGUGUUUCUCUUUGAAAGUUUGGUCAGCGAACCAAUUGAUCUUACUGCUAUUAGCCAAUUGGUGCAACUGAGAUAUCUCAGGAUCAUUAGCAAUCCCAGUUAUACGAGCGACAUGUUGUGCUCAGUAUCAGAACCUUUUCGUCAUAUCAAGGUCCUUAAUCUGAGUAGUUGUAGGAUGCCUAGAGUUCCCAAAUGGAUUUGUGGUCUCCAAUGCCUCUGCCGGCUAGAGCUGAAUGUUGACACGUGCACUGAUGAGUUGCACGCUCUUGGAGAGCUGCCCUCUCUCGUCCACCUCAGUUUACAGAUAUGCAGUAUCCCUGAAGACAGUGCUGUCACUUUCUCCGCCGGAUCAUUUCCGGUUCUGGAGUACUGUAAAUUGGAACCAGAGUAUGAUGUUACUGCGUACCUGGCCUUUGGGGCAGGGGCUAUGCCCAAACUAACUUGGUUUAGACUAUACUUCAACAACUGGGGCGGCGCUACACCAGUUGGCUUGGAGCACCUGUUGAGCCUCAAGUAUGUCAAAGUAAUCAUCCGCGGCCCCGAAGAAGUGGAGAAUGAAGCAGAGUCUGCCUUCAGGAACUGUAUGCAGCAGCAUCCAAACCGUCCUGAGUUUGACAUCUACAGUAUACCACGAUAA
RNAcentral lists this ribosomal RNA (2016 nucleotides) under Triticum aestivum (bread wheat). Its description in RNAcentral is "partial small subunit ribosomal RNA". Lineage: Eukaryota; Viridiplantae; Streptophyta; Magnoliopsida; Poales; Poaceae. The record is from RNAcentral.